This 4353-nucleotide long non-coding RNA is filed under the name Canis lupus familiaris (dog). RNAcentral describes it as "lncRNA (ENSCAFG00030002107.1)". The record is from RNAcentral. Lineage: Eukaryota; Metazoa; Chordata; Mammalia; Carnivora; Canidae.
CCCUGACAGACCCUCAACACUCGCCCGGGGGGGCGGUAGCCCCCAGUGCAGGGGGGCGGGCUCCAUCUGCUGCUGGACUGGGGGUGAUGAGGGCCCCGGGGUGAGGGGGCCGCUGAAGGUGACGAUGCUGCAGAUCCAGCUUCCAGAGAGACCUCGCCUCCUUCCACUGCGUGCUGUCUUGUCUGUGAUUCAUCCUUUGAUGCUGAGAGUAAAGCCGGGGUCUGUUGUAACACGCUCGUGUUCAGCUCCACGGAGGGGAAUUUGAGCAGAAGGGGAGGGAAUAAUAAAACGCUUGCUUUUUUGUUCUGGAUCCCGCUGAAACGAUCCUUGCCGCGGCCUGGGUGUAGGCGAGGCAGGCUCUCCGCGCUCCUGCAUUUAGAAAAGGCAGCGGAGCCUUGCGUCGGAGGCCGUCGCGAAAACACAGAAGCCUAAUAAGGUGGAGGGUGGGCAAGCAGCCCCUCCGUGGGUGCGGGGACGGGACGGAGCAUCCAGGUGUCGGGUUCCAGCCCCCUCAGGGUGCCUGGCCCAGAGGAGCCACGCUCGCUCGCCCUCACCUCGGAGGUUCAGACAUGCACGACGGUCCCGCCUGCCAAGGGAAACACUGACGUCACCCCAGGAACAAAAGGAUUCCAUGUCAGUGUUUUUCGUGGGACUAAUGCUCCCAGAAGCAAAGAAACAGCCUCCCAGUGACUUAGCCGAAGCAGAACGUAGGCGACCUGGCGCGGGAGCCACCCUGCUGCAUUUAACAGGCCUUAGAGCCUGGCCUGGAGGGUCCCGGGCCCAGGGCAGGAGCCCGGCAGGUGCUGCGAGACCCCCUUACCAGCCCAUCCCUUGGGCUGCAGGUGAGGGGCCGGGGCAGGCUGGAAAGGGGGUGACCAGCUCCCCCACCCCACCCCCGGGGACAGCACAGUUCCUUGGCCCCGCCUGUCGGGACACCGGGCAGCAGGUAGGAAACAGGUCUCCGGGGGCGGGCGCACAUCACUGGUUAACGGGGCCUCUUCUGCUCUCAGGUGGGAACCCUGAGGUGCCAAGGUCAAGGUGGGCCCGCAGCUGCUCCCUCCCCACCCCUCCCUUUGGUUUUACCUUCCUGAACACUAUUUCAUUUUUUUUUUUUUUGCAUUUUUUCAAUUUAAAGUCAAUUUGCCAACAUCUAGUGCAACCCCCUGUGCUCAUCCCAUUGCGUGCCGUCCUCAGUACCCGUCACCCGGUCACCCCGUCCCCCCACCCUCCUCCCCUUCUGCAGCCCUCUGGUUCCCAGAGUCAGGAGCCUCUCAUGGUUUGUCACACAUACAAUUUAAAAACAAAAACAAAAACUCUUGCUUCUCAUUCAAACGAGGUCAUGGGCCAGCUGGGCCACAUGGCUCAGCCCCUCCCCGGCUGCCACGGCCCUGCGGGGUGCGCGCGGGGAUGCCAGGACCUGGGGUUCCGUGCUCACCUGUCACGGAGCCUCCCGGGGGCGGCCUCUCCGCCAGGCCCCUCGGUUCCCCCGUGUCUGCCCCCUGCACCCCCUGCCCCCUGGUCUUCUUUCCCCUCUUCCUCCCCCGUGCCCAAGUAGACGUGUUUGUACCCGCGGCCUCCACAAUUGGCAAGUGGAGGUCCCUGGCCUUGCAGAGUGGGGCGGGCGGGGGAAGGGGGGAGGACCUGGGGGCACCUGGGGGCUGGAGCCCAGGGAGGAGCCCCCCCAGGCUCCCUGGCUGGAGCAAGCCCCUGAGGACGGAAGGAGGACGGCCUCCUUCGCUGCAUCUCUGGGCCUCGCGGCCGCGGCUCCACAAUCCCUGCCUCUUCCUGCCUUUGAAUAAUUGGACUUAACCUCCCUUCAUCCCCCAAAAAGGUGCGUUCUGCCUGCAGCUCAGAGGAACAUUCCAUCUGGCCCCGGGGAAGGAAUUUAUAAAUAUUACCCUAGGCUCUCACCAGGCAGCUCGUAAAUCAGUGCCUGGGGCUCCCGGAACCCCCCCCCCCCCCCCGCCCGGGCUAUAUAAAGCUACAACUCUGCCUCCUGCGUUUCCAAUUUUAAGUCCAACACAGCCCAGGCCUGCUGGCUCCUGUUGAUCCUCACUGAUUCCGGGGGCUCUUCAAAGGCUCCCCGAAGCAGCCGGCUAAGAAGGACUCCGUUGUUCUCAUUGGGGAAAUGGAAAAUGGAAACUGGCGUCCGAGGUCGAGCCCGCCCUGUGAUGAGGGGGGCUGGGGGGGACCUGGGGGUGUUGCUCCACCAAAACCCUGAGCGCCAGCAACCAGCAAACACGCACACGAUGCCUGAGAACGAUCAGGGCCCGGCGCCCCUACAGACCUCCCCCCGUCCGGCUGGGUGGUUUCUGCAACAAUCGGGUGGGACACCCCCCCCCCCCCCCCCCCGCAGAGGGGCCAUGGGAGCUGGGCCUGGAGCAGGAGUGGCCCUCCUACCAGGCGCUGGGUGCUGGGGGAGGGGCAGUCCGCGUCAGGCAGGAGACUCAGGCUGGAAUAAAUGUGGGAAGAACAUUUUGGGGUUUCCACACCCCGAAGAGAACUGCCUGUGGGGACAGUCAGGUCCUGCACGGUCCCCCGUACACCUUCUCCCGGCGCUUCUCUGGCUUUCUAGCAUGCCUCAGAAUUAGCAGGGAAGGAAGAGGAGCCGGGCGCAUGGCCCAGCAGGACGGGAGCACCUGAAGGCCCAGGCCAUCUUGGUUCGCCGCCGGGGGCCGCCCUGCGGGGCCGGGGAAACUGAGACUCAGUGGAGCAACUUGCCCUGGCAACGGCCCCUGCCAGCCAGCCCUCCCGCCGUGCACGAAGCUCACCCCCUGCGUCCCCACCUUCCCCACCGAGCUGGUCUCAUCCACUGGCCGCUGUGUGCCCUGGGGACUCGAGCUUGGAGGGCUUCCCAGUGAGAGAAGGACAGCUGUCACUGAGGUGUGUAGACACCCGCGGGGACCAGGCCCCACCACGCGCUGCACCAGCUCGCGUAACCCUGGGAACGGGGGGCAUGGUGGCUUCAUCGAUUAGCCUCACUUUAGAGAAGGGAAGAUUGAGACCUCAAGAGUGUAACUAACUUCCCCCAAAGUCACACAAUCCAGUCCAUCGGAGUUUGAACCCGGGGUUGAGUGGCUCCAAAGCUCCAUCUCUCCCACUGUCACCGAGAAGCUUCUCCAAGCACGCAGCCUGAGACCGAAGGCUGGCUGGUCUUAGCGAAGUUAUGGGAGCUCUAGUGGAGCUGCAGAGGGCACGCGGGCCGAGAGACAAGGAGAGGCCCAGAGGUGAUGCCCGCCUGGCAAAAGUUGGACAAAUGGGACCCAGAGAAAAGAAAGAUCUUAAAGUGCUGUUGAUGAGCAACAUUGCCUCGAGAGCCUCCGGCUCAGAGCUCAGGUGGCUACCGAGGGGGUGUCCUCUUGCCCUGGUGCUGCGGUGGUAUAAGCAGGUGCAGGGGCACAGCUAUCCCUAGGAAGCGGAGGCAGCCACCAUCAGCAGGAGAGAUGUGCCCCAGCCGCAUCUUGGGGACAGUGGACAUCCUCUGCGGGCAUCUCUCUGGCCAAAGCUGAGUCCGAGCCUUUGUCAUGAGUACAAAGCAGCUGGGCAUCCUCUGGGCCUCUCAGCCUCUGCGGGGAAGGAGAGCUCUCCCUCCCACCCAGCCUUACAUCAUGGGGGGCAGGUGAUGGGCAAUCAGAAAAGACACAUGUCCUCCAUUACGGGUUGAAUUAGGUCCCCGCCCCGCCGCUGACAUUCGUAUGUUGGAGUCUUGACCCCCAGAACCUCUGGAUGUAACCUUGUGUGGAGAUAGGGUCUCUAUGGAGGCAAUCAAGUCAAAACAAGGUCAUUAGGGUGAGUCCCGAUCCAAUAGUAUUGGUGCCCUUAUAAGAAGGGGACAUUUGGAGGUGGAGAGACAACCAACCACGUGCACACAGGGGGAAGAUGGUAGCUGUACAUCAAGGACAGUGGCCUCAGGAGAAACCGGGCUGCCCACAGCUGGAUCUCAAACUUCUGGCCUCCAGAUGAGAGACAGAAACGUCUACAGGUGAAAGCACCCACGCUGUGGCCUUUUGUGACAGCAGCCCUGGCAAAUACACCCCCAAAGGGAGGUUGGAGGGACUUGCAGCAGACCGCUUGCUUACUCUGAGUCCCAGGAGGGCCGCCGGGGACCCCCUGGGCUCUACGAGUACUGCAGUGAGUCAUACACCGUAGGUGCUGGAGAAGAUCCCAACAAGGAAGAAGAGGGGAGAGAAGGAAAGAGAAGCAGCCCUCAUGGCAUAGGAGAAGGCUUGCCACACAUUCUGACGCCACCUCCCAGACUCAGGACCUACCGUUGGAGUCAAGAGCCUGGCUCGUCACUCCCAACCUCAACACCCGCAGGGCCUACAGUCGUUGGAGUCGACGUGAUGAGGCCCA